UACGUAGGGAGCUAGCGUUGUUCGGAUUUACUGGGCGUAAAGGGCGCGUAGGCGGCCACCGCAGGCCGACUGGGAAAUCUCCGGGCUUAACCCGGAAAGGUCAGCCGAUACUGCGGGGCUAGAGUGCAGAAGGGGCGACUGGAAUUCUCGGUGUAGCGGUGAAAUGCGUAGAUAUCGGGAGGAACACCUGCGGCGAAGGCGGGUUGCUGGGCUGGCACUGACGCUGAUGCGCGAAAGCGAGGGGAGCGAACGGG
RNAcentral lists this ribosomal RNA (254 nucleotides) under uncultured bacterium. RNAcentral's name for it is "partial 16S ribosomal RNA". It matches the Rfam family "Bacterial small subunit ribosomal RNA", at positions 524 to 776 of the family's 1533-position model. The record is from RNAcentral.